UACGGAGGGUGCGAGCGUUGUCCGGAAUCAUUGGGCGUAAAGGGCGCGUAGGUGGCGGGACAAGCGUGCGGUGAAAGCUCGGGGCUCAACCCCGAGUCGGCCGUGCGAACUGUUUUGCUUGAGCACUGUAGAGGCAGGCGGAAUUCCGGGUGUAGCGGCGGAAUGCGUAGAGAUCCGGAAGAACACCGGUGGCGAAGGCGGCCUGCUGGGCAGUAGCUGACACUGAGGCGCGACAGCGUGGGGAGCAAACAGG
This 253-nucleotide ribosomal RNA is filed under the name uncultured bacterium. RNAcentral's name for it is "partial 16S ribosomal RNA". It matches the Rfam family "Bacterial small subunit ribosomal RNA", at positions 524 to 776 of the family's 1533-position model. The record is from RNAcentral.